UUAUUGAAAGGUGCUUGCAUCUUGAUUUAAUUUUGAACGAGUGGCGGACGGGUGAGUAACACGUGGGUAACCUGCCCUUAAGUGGGGGACAACAUUUGGAAACAGAUGCUAAUACCGCAUAAAUCCAAAAACCGCAUGGUUCUUGGCUGAAAGAUGGCGUAAGCUAUCGCUUUUGGAUGGACCCGCGGCGUAUUAGCUAGUUGGUGAGGUAACGGCUCACCAAGGCAAUGAUACGUAGCCGAACUGAGAGGUUGAUCGGCCACAUUGGGACUGAGACACGGCCCAAACUCCUACGGGAGGCAGCAGUAGGGAAUCUUCCACAAUGGACGCAAGUCUGAUGGAGCAACGCCGCGUGAGUGAAGAAGGCUUUCGGGUCGUAAAACUCUGUUGUUGGAGAAGAAUGGUCGGCAGAGUAACUGUUGUCGGCGUGACGGUAUCCAACCAGAAAGCCGCGGCUAACUACGUGCCAGCAGCCGCGGUAAUACGUAGGUGGCAAGCGUUAUCCGGAUUUAUUGGGCGUAAAGCGAGCGCAGGCGGUUUUUUAAGUCUGAUGUGAAAGCCCUCGGCUUAACCGAGGAAGUGCAUCGGAAACUGGGAAACUUGAGUGCAGAAGAGGACAGUGGAACUCCAUGUGUAGCGGUGAAAUGCGUAGAUAUAUGGAAGAACACCAGUGGCGAAGGCGGCUGUCUGGUCU
RNAcentral lists this ribosomal RNA (694 nucleotides) under uncultured Bacilli bacterium. RNAcentral describes it as "bacterial SSU rRNA". It matches the Rfam family "Bacterial small subunit ribosomal RNA", at positions 59 to 735 of the family's 1533-position model. Lineage: Bacteria; Bacillati; Bacillota; Bacilli. The record is from RNAcentral.